RNAcentral lists this ribosomal RNA (666 nucleotides) under uncultured Alphaproteobacteria bacterium. RNAcentral describes it as "bacterial SSU rRNA". It matches the Rfam family "Bacterial small subunit ribosomal RNA", at positions 57 to 757 of the family's 1533-position model. Lineage: Bacteria; Pseudomonadati; Pseudomonadota; Alphaproteobacteria. The record is from RNAcentral.
GCAGUCGAGCGAGAAGCUUACCUUCGGGUGAGUGGAAAGCGGCAGACGGGUGAGUAACGCGUGGGAACGUGCCCUUCGGUACGGAACAACAGCUUAGAAAUGACUGCUAAUACCGUAUACGACCUCCGGGUGAAAGAUUUAUCGCCGAAGGAUCGGCCCGCGUUAGAUUAGCUUGUUGGUGAGGUAAAGGCUCACCAAGGCGACGAUCUAUAGCUGUUCUGAGGGGAAGAUCAGCCACACUGGGACUGAGACACGGCCCAGACUCCUACGGGAGGCAGCAGUGGGGAAUAUUGGACAAUGGGCGCAAGCCUGAUCCAGCCAUGCCGCGUGGAUGAAGAAGGCCCUAGGGUUGUAAAAUCCUUUCGCUAGGGAAGAUAAUGACGGUACCUAGUAAAGAAGCCCCGGCUAAUUUCGUGCCAGCAGCCGCGGUAAUACGAAAGGGGCUAGCGUUGUUCGGAAUUACUGGGCGUAAAGCGCACGUAGGCGGCUAUGUAAGUUGGGGGUGAAAUCCCGGGGCUCAACUCCGGAACUGCCUUCAAAACUACAUAGCUAGAGGAUGUGAGAGGAGGGUGGAAUUCCGAGUGUAGAGGUGAAAUUCGUAGAUAUUCGGAAGAACACCAGUGGCGAAGGCGACUCUCUGGCACAUUUCUGACGCUGAGGUGCGAA